UCCAGCGCACUCACCUAUCCACUAAACAGCAACUUCAAUGUUGAAAAUUUUUAUUUGUUUUUAUAAAAAAAAAAUGAGGCACCUGUAACUAAACCCCCAUUAUUUUUGCCUAGAUUAGGUGUUUUUAUAAAAACAAAUAAAAUCUUUCAACAUUGAAGUUGCUGUUUAGUGGAUAGGUGAGUGUGCUGGA
Pelobates cultripes (western spadefoot toad) is the source of this 190-nucleotide non-coding RNA. Lineage: Eukaryota; Metazoa; Chordata; Amphibia; Anura; Pelobatidae. The record is from the annotation of a GenBank genome assembly.